UUGCGUUAUUCCCAUUUCCAAUAGGAUGAAUGAACUUUAAAUAGUAUCCAAUCAGAUGAGAGCUCCUCUGGCAUAUAAAAACCUAGCGAAGCUGAUUCAUUCCGGACACCAUUAUUAGUUUUGGUGUGUCUUUCCCAAAGAAAAACGUCCUACGGUGAACGCAGUCAUGCCUUUCGGUAACACCCACAACAAGCUGAAGAUGAGCUACUCCGCGGAGCAGGAGUACCCCGACCUCAGCCAACAUAACAACCACAUGGCCAAGGUGCUCACCCCAGAGAUGUACGCCAACCUGCGGGAC
Oncorhynchus mykiss (rainbow trout) is the source of this 298-nucleotide non-coding RNA. The record is from RefSeq and is a predicted model, not a curated record. Lineage: Eukaryota; Metazoa; Chordata; Actinopteri; Salmoniformes; Salmonidae.